This is a long non-coding RNA of Branchiostoma floridae (Florida lancelet), 4146 nucleotides long. RefSeq lists it as uncharacterized. The transcript is spliced from 7 exons. The record is from RefSeq and is a predicted model, not a curated record. NCBI's taxonomy places the organism in Eukaryota, Metazoa, Chordata, Leptocardii, Amphioxiformes, Branchiostomatidae.
CGUCACUCGUCUGCGAGCUGUCUGAGUUGACGGGCUUAUAAUAUAAACCUCGCAGCUUACCAGUACAGAACAACAUCACGGCCGCGCGGUGACGGAGUCCUUUGUCCUUUCAGCAUCCUACCUUUUAACAGGAUCUUAUUGGUGCCAUCAAGUCCGGAUUAACUGCAGCUGCAAUGUUCCUGGUGGGACUUAUCCUGGUGAGAGGUUGUCCGAUGCCAUCUCCACGGCUAGCUGUACGGUGACGUCCAGAAAGAUCCUUCCCUGUGUAAAAGCCCCGCCAGAGGACCUGAAACUAAGAUAAGUUCUUGUGUGUCUUAUGGGGUGUAAAAUGGAAACAUGUCGCAGAAUUGGGCUGGGACUAACUUCUCGUCGGCAUGAUAAGAAGGAAAUGAUUUGUGCGGCCUUUUGUGCCUUAUAAACUACAACAAAGCAAGAAGCCUUCACGGCUUCAGGAAGGGUCUGUCCUGCGAGAGCCAGCUGGUGCUAACCCUCCAAGACCUGGCCAAGAACAUGGACCAGAACAAACAGGUCGAUGCCGCGGUGCUUGACUUUAGCAAAGCAUUCGAUACCGUGCCUCACGAACGUCUACUGAGCAAACUCGAGCACUAUGGUAUUUCUGGCCUCCUUCAGUCUUGGCUUAGGGCUUUCCUUACGGAGAGAACCCAGAGGGUUGUCUUUGGCGGUGAAACAUCUAAAGCCGUCAAGGUCACCUCUAUCUGGAGUUCCGCAGGGUAUUGUGUUAGGCCCUCUACUCUUCCUGCUCUAUAUCAACGACCUACCCGAUUCCGUAGACAUGUUCGACUAUUUGCUGACGAUUGCUUUAUUUAUCGAACUAUCAGCAAGCCUUCUGACGCUCAAGGUCUGCAGUCUGACCUCGAUGCGUUAACAGAAUGGCAAAUGCAGCAUGGCUUAUGUCGUUCAACCCCUCUAAAUGCCACAUCCUCCACAUUACCCGUAAGAAGCACCCCAUCUUAACUCAGUACUCCCUCUGCGGAGAAGCCCUCACCGGUGUUAAGUCCCACCCCUAUCUUGGAGUACAACUGUCCGAUGAAUUGCGGUGGGACACCCAUAUCAACUAAUAAUAACUAAUUUCGCUUUGUUGCUUCCAUGGCCAGGACCUUAUUGGUGCCAUCAAGGUGACGUCCAGAAAGAUCGGUGCUCGAGUUUACGCCCUGCCAAGGGACCUGAAACUAAGUUAAGUACUUACGUGUCUUCUCCGUUGAAAACAUAUCGCAGGGAUGGGCUGAGACUAACUUUUCAUCGACAUGAUAGGAAGUAAAUUAUUAGUUGUGAUGAUUCGUUAACUGAACUCUUAGUUGGAGGUAAGGUACUUUAGUGUGCUCUGUUGACAUUCCGAGCGAUGUUGUCGGGAGGGGUUUACAUUAGGACAUUUUGUAAAUGGAGGCUCCUUUGCAUUCAGGGCUUCAGUCCGUUUCUGUGGUGUACAGGCCUGGUGUGUGGCUGGUUUGGUUUCUGUGAUUGUGUCGAUGGCCGGGAUGGCAUUCGGUCAAUUAUUUCAAAUUCUGUUCUUUACAAAACUGGGUUUUCCCUGGUUCACCAUCUGUCGUCAUUUCUGUUUUAUGUCAUGGUCAGUGGUUGUCGGGGACCUAGACCAUUACAUAAUCUGCCUCGUGUUGUUUUCUUGGGUCCCGAACCAAGAGAACGGCACAGGCCAGAAAGGAAGACAGGUGGCUGAAGAGCCUAUCUAAUAUUACUAGUUUAGUCGUUUAGAAAAAAAACUCUGCGUCGACAUAGUCACAGAAACUGAAUCAGCUAUGCAUUGGGCUUGUAUAUCACAGAAGCAGACUGAAGCAAUGAGAGCAGAAGUGGCCAUUGCUUUCGAAAAUUAAAGCAAAACAAAGGCAGCAUUAUGCCAUAAGCAGCAUUACUUAGGAUCUUAUCAAAGCACGAACAACACCCUGCCACCAAACAAGAGAUAAUGAUUCCUCUCGCUAUUUCUAUGUUAAAACUAGAGCUGAAAUUACAAUGACAAAACAAAUGAACUUCCUGCCAUUCCAAUGCACGUAGCUGAGCUUUCUUUUAGGUAUAGUGUUAGAUAUAGUCUUAUAUUUCUGAGUUAGGUUUAAUUUCUGUCUCGUCUUUUCUCCCGAGGAUCAUCACACCGUAAGAAGAAAUGUCUGGACGCGGAAAGGGAGGCGAGGACUGGCGAAGGAAGGUGCCGAACGUGAGCGAAUGGGCUUCGCAGUCUUCUAUGACAAGAAGUGUCUGGGCUUGGUAAGCGAGGAAAGAAAGACACAGGGAAAUGGAGGUUUCAAAGUGUCACCGUUACUGCAAGUGCUUUCGUGACGACGUCCGGUGCAUCACCAGCCAGGGCACGUCUGAUUCGACAUAGACAAGCGAUGUCUGAACGUUACGGGUACCGUCACCGAUGGCGCUUCACAACAUCCGGGAAGACGGUGGUCCUGGCGGAAGGCGUCUUGGUGUCUCCCCUCGUAGCUGGAUUUCAGAAGCUUCUUGAGAUGAAAUUCCAUAACUGGAUGUACGUAUGUAAACCAGCUCUGCAAACCAGAUAUUUGAGAAGAAAUGUCUGGACGCCAUAAGGAAGGCAAGGUCAAGCGUCACCGUCACUGACAUGACAAUAUCGUGCUUCGUGACAACACCACGUGCAUCACCAAGGAGGACUGGUUGAACAGUUUAGCUGUGAGUCAGAUGAUGCGUGCAUACGUUCCGGCCCGGCCCUGCUUCUGAAACUGUAUUGGAGGGAGGAAGCAGACCAUGAGACUGUUGAUAGUCACAAUAGGUUGGGAAGGAGACAUCUCACAGCAUCUUCCAGGACCGCAUUGAUGCCAUGAAUUCCUGAUCAACUGCAGCUGCAAUGUUCAUGGUGGAAAUCCUGGUGAGAGAUUGUCCGACGCCAUCUCAACAUGUACAGUGACGUCCAGAAAGAUCGGUGCUCGUGUGUGCGCCCUGCGAUCUGAGUGAUGUAGCCAGUAGGGCGUUAGGGCAUUUUGUAAAUGGAGGCUCCUUUUGCCCUCAUAGCUAAAGCCGUUUCUGUGGUGUACAAGCUUGGCGUGUGGCUGAUUUUAUUUCGUGUGACUGUGUCGAUGGCCGGAAUUGUAUUCGUUCAGUUACUGUUAAUUCUGUUCUUUAUAAACAGGGUCUUCCCUGGUUCACCAUCUGUUGUAAUUUCUGUUUUAUGUCAUGGUCAGUGGUUGUCGGGGACCUAGACCAUUACAUAAUCUGCCUCGUGUUGUUUUCUUGGGUCCCGAAACAAGAGAACGGCACAGGCCAGAAAGGAAGGCAGGUGGUUGAAAAGCCUUCUUUUAUUUUAGUAUUUUAGUCCUUUUAGAAAUGCUAGAGUAUCGUGGUUCGCAGUCACAGAAACCGAAUCAAUACAAACAGAAUGCAAAGUGUACACAAAUGUACAAUUGUUCAGUUAUCAUGUAUAUCACGAUAGUAGAUACUUGUACAUAUAGUUACGCCUACUUACGUUAUGUGUUAGGUAUAGUUUUCCCAUAUUUUUGAGUGAAGAUCUCGUCUUUUUUUGUAAAGAGGCUUGGAGAUGUAGUGCUGUUUAGGCGCCUUUUGUUAGCAGCCUCUGUUUUUGAGUGUAUUUGUUUGAUGCCCUUCCAGUACAGGGGUGGCUGACACUGGAUUGUUUUGUGUGUUUCACUUAUUUUCAUUGUCGCAGAAAAGUGGUCUACAUGUUAGAAUUUAGUAAAUGUCAACAUUGUCCGUUUAUUGUGUAGAGGUUGUAGCCCUUUAAAUCAGUUGUUUGGAAAUUUCCCUAGUAACUGAGGCUAAGGCUGGCGCUGACACUAACACAAGACAAACACAUACACACAUACAUACACACUAACAGACUAUCCCCACCAAACACACACAUUUUUGACGGACACUAAUAAUCAGCUCAAAUGCCUUAGCCUUAGACUGAAAAAAAUCUAUGAUUCUUUAAGUACAAAGGCUCCACGCUACCUCUAUACCAUGUACUGACAAUGUCAAUAUUUACUGAUUUUUAGCUUUCUUUUAUCCACUAUGUCCUAGAGUGAGGGUAACUCUUAACCUAAAUGGGUUAGAUGUGAAGUUCAUUUUUGAUGCUAGAGUAUCUUCAUUUGUUAUGAGGUUUAUAUAUUAUACACUUUGCAUUUCUCUAUUUUGCUAAUAAACAAAUAUGUUGAAAUCGGA